Molecule: long non-coding RNA, 657 nt
Filed under: Daphnia pulicaria
Lineage: Eukaryota; Metazoa; Arthropoda; Branchiopoda; Diplostraca; Daphniidae
Description: uncharacterized LOC124315749
Source: RNAcentral
UCAUUACCAGAUGUCACUAGUGUUGCCCAUGUUGUUCUUACAUCGUGAAACGAGGCGAAAACGGUGAAACAAAUUGCAGCUAAUUAAUACUUAUAUUCCUGUGAUUUCAUAUACCAAAUUGAACUUCGUAACUUAUAUGCAUACUGUCAGUCAUUCCAACAAGUUGACUAGUAGCGCUCAGUCACUUUCCAUCAGAUUAGACCCUCAUGUUGUCAAAAGCCAAAAACUCAUGUUUGAAGUGGAAUACAAAUGUGUCGAGAUAAGGAUCUUUUCUGAAUCUCGCAAUUUUGGUGGCGUACCCUGCAACAGCAUGUUUUUUGUUAUGGCGCUGUUUCUACUUCUGUUUAGAAAGCCACCCAGCUGAAGGAUAGAGUUUUAGAGACAUGAAGAGUGUGAAGUGAGACCUGCCAUGUGUAUGUUCAUGUACCAGAUCUGCUUGAUGAAAGUCAAAUGCCUUACUAAAUUCAUCACCCAUAUGAUAAAGCAUCAGGGAAUUUAUCUCAUCAUGUGGAGUAAUGCUGUUGGUUGCUGUGAAUUCCAUUUUUACGGUUUUUUAUCAUGAACAUUUCAGUGUGUUUCUUAGAAAAGAGCACGCAGCUUCUUUAUGGAAUCGUGCUGUCCUGGCACGGAGAUUCUUGUGCAAAUGCUGACCUUUGU